RNAcentral lists this ribosomal RNA (443 nucleotides) under Spinaria sp. BCLDQ0638. RNAcentral describes it as "eukaryotic LSU rRNA". The record is from RNAcentral. Lineage: Eukaryota; Metazoa; Arthropoda; Insecta; Hymenoptera; Braconidae.
CCUGAGAAACCCAAAAGAUCGAAUAGGGAGAUUCAUCGUCAGCUCAUUUUGUAUAUAUAUGAGUUAUGAUGCGAGUUACUACUUGUAGUAUUGCUUGCACAUUCUUAUAUAUUUAAUUGCAUUAUGUUGUCGGCGUGCACUUCUCCUUUAGUAGAACGUCGCGACUCAUUGUUUGUUGGUUUACGGCCCAAGUUAUUAGUCUUUAAUAUUUUAUUAUAUUAAAAAUUCUUGGUGCUUUCUAACCGGCUAUACAGUGGUAUUCAUAUGGUAAUAAGCCGCAAUUAUAUGCGUCCCGUUUCCAUCGCAAGCAAGGCCAAUUUUUGGUAGUACGGACCAAGUGCCGUCGCUAGUAUUGGUCAGCUGUUGGCUGUUAUGGUAUUCUUGGACUGGCUGAAAAAAAAUAAUUACCGGUUAGCGAUGCUAUUGCUUUGGGUACUUUCAGG